CUUAAAUUGAAGAGUUUGAUCAUGGCUCAGAUUGAACGCUGGCGGCAGGCCUAACACAUGCAAGUCGAGCGGAAACGAGUUAACUGAACC
Molecule: ribosomal RNA, 90 nt
Filed under: Vibrio parahaemolyticus
Lineage: Bacteria; Pseudomonadati; Pseudomonadota; Gammaproteobacteria; Vibrionales; Vibrionaceae
Description: partial 16S ribosomal RNA
Rfam family: Bacterial small subunit ribosomal RNA
Source: RNAcentral